RNAcentral lists this unclassified non-coding RNA (253 nucleotides) under uncultured Gnomoniaceae. RNAcentral describes it as "sequence contains 5.8S rRNA gene". The stretch from base 1 to 53 matches the Rfam family "5.8S ribosomal RNA", at positions 102 to 154 of the family's 154-position model. Lineage: Eukaryota; Fungi; Ascomycota; Sordariomycetes; Diaporthales; Gnomoniaceae. The record is from RNAcentral.
GAACGCACAUUGCGCCCGGUGGUAUUCCACCGGGCAUGCCUGUUCGAGCGUCAUUUCAACCCUCAAAGCCUAGCUUUGGUGUUGGAGGAAUACCUGUAAAAGGGUACCCUCUGAAAUUUAGUGGCGGGCUCGCUAGAAUUUUGAGCGUAGUAAUUUUACCUCGUUUUUAAAGACUAGUGGGUUCUUGCCGUAAAAACCCCCAACUUUCUGAAAAUUGACCUCGGAUCAGGUAGGAAUACCCGCUGAACUUAAG